CCUACGGGGGGCAGCAGUGAGGAAUAUUGGUCAAUGGUCGGGAGACUGAACCAGCCAAGCCGCGUGAGGGAUGAAGGUACAGAGUAUCGUAAACCUCUUUUGUCAGGGAACAAAGGCGGGGACGUGUCCCCGGAUGAGUGUACCUGAAGAAAAAGCAUCGGCUAACUCCGUGCCAGCAGCCGCGGUAAUACGGAGGAUGCGAGCGUUAUCCGGAUUUAUUGGGUUUAAAGGGUGCGCAGGCGGUCUGUUAAGUCAGCGGUCAAAGCCCGGGGCUCAACCCCGGCCCGCCGUUGAAACUGGCAGUCUUGAGUUGGAGAGAAGUAUGCGGAAUGCGCGGUGUAGCGGUGAAAUGCAUAGAUACCGCGCAGAACUCCGAUUGCGAAGGCAGCGUGCCGGCUCCACACUGACGCUGAGGCACGAAAGCGUGGGUAUCGAACAGGAUUAGAUACCCCGGUAGUC
Molecule: ribosomal RNA, 459 nt
Filed under: uncultured bacterium
Lineage: Bacteria
Description: partial 16S ribosomal RNA
Rfam family: Bacterial small subunit ribosomal RNA
Source: RNAcentral